GUUAAGCGACUAAGCGUACACGGUGGAUGCCCUGGCAGUCAGAGGCGAUGAAGGACGUGCUAAUCUGCGAUAAGCGUCGGUAAGGUGAUAUGAACCGUUAUAACCGGCGAUUUCCGAAUGGGGAAACCCAGUGUGUUUCGACACACUAUCAUUAACUGAAUCCAUAGGUUAAUGAGGCGAACCGGGGGAACUGAAACAUCUAAGUACCCCGAGGAAAAGAAAUCAACCGAGAUUCCCCCAGUAGCGGCGAGCGAACGGGGAGCAGCCCAGAGCCUGAAUCAGUGUGUGUGUUAGUGGAAGCGUCUGGAAAGGCGCGCGAUACAGGGUGACAGCCCCGUACACAAAAAUGCACAUGCUGUGAGCUCGAUGAGUAGGGCGGGACACGUGGUAUCCUGUCUGAAUAUGGGGGGACCAUCCUCCAAGGCUAAAUACUCCUGACUGACCGAUAGUGAACCAGUACCGUGAGGGAAAGGCGAAAAGAACCCCGGCGAGGGGAGUGAAAAAGAACCUGAAACCGUGUACGUACAAGCAGUGGGAGCACGCUUAGGCGUGUGACUGCGUACCUUUUGUAUAAUGGGUCAGCGACUUAUAUUCUGUAGCAAGGUUAACCGAAUAGGGGAGCCGAAGGGAAACCGAGUCUUAACUGGGCGUUAAGUUGCAGGGUAUAGACCCGAAACCCGGUGAUCUAGCCAUGGGCAGGUUGAAGGUUGGGUAACACUAACUGGAGGACCGAACCGACUAAUGUUGAAAAAUUAGCGGAUGACUUGUGGCUGGGGGUGAAAGGCCAAUCAAACCGGGAGAUAGCUGGUUCUCCCCGAAAGCUAUUUAGGUAGCGCCUCGUGAAUUCAUCUCCGGGGGUAGAGCACUGUUUCGGCAAGGGGGUCAUCCCGACUUACCAACCCGAUGCAAACUGCGAAUACCGGAGAAUGUUAUCACGGGAGACACACGGCGGGUGCUAACGUCCGUCGUGAAGAGGGAAACAACCCAGACCGCCAGCUAAGGUCCCAAAGUCAUGGUUAAGUGGGAAACGAUGUGGGAAGGCCCAGACAGCCAGGAUGUUGGCUUAGAAGCAGCCAUCAUUUAAAGAAAGCGUAAUAGCUCACUGGUCGAGUCGGCCUGCGCGGAAGAUGUAACGGGGCUAAACCAUGCACCGAAGCUGCGGCAGCGACGCUGAUGCGUUGUUGGGUAGGGGAGCGUUCUGUAAGCCUGCGAAGGUGUGCUGUGAGGCAUGCUGGAGGUAUCAGAAGUGCGAAUGCUGACAUAAGUAACGAUAAAGCGGGUGAAAAGCCCGCUCGCCGGAAGACCAAGGGUUCCUGUCCAACGUUAAUCGGGGCAGGGUGAGUCGACCCCUAAGGCGAGGCCGAAAGGCGUAGUCGAUGGGAAACAGGUUAAUAUUCCUGUACUUGGUGUUACUGCGAAGGGGGGACGGAGAAGGCUAUGUUGGCCGGGCGACGGUUGUCCCGGUUUAAGCGUGUAGGCUGGUUUUCCAGGCAAAUCCGGAAAAUCAAGGCUGAGGCGUGAUGACGAGGCACUACGGUGCUGAAGCAACAAAUGCCCUGCUUCCAGGAAAAGCCUCUAAGCAUCAGGUAACAUCAAAUCGUACCCCAAACCGACACAGGUGGUCAGGUAGAGAAUACCAAGGCGCUUGAGAGAACUCGGGUGAAGGAACUAGGCAAAAUGGUGCCGUAACUUCGGGAGAAGGCACGCUGAUAUGUAGGUGAAGUCCCUCGCGGAUGGAGCUGAAAUCAGUCGAAGAUACCAGCUGGCUGCAACUGUUUAUUAAAAACACAGCACUGUGCAAACACGAAAGUGGACGUAUACGGUGUGACGCCUGCCCGGUGCCGGAAGGUUAAUUGAUGGGGUUAGCCGCAA
RNAcentral lists this ribosomal RNA (1872 nucleotides) under Escherichia coli. Its description in RNAcentral is "partial 23S ribosomal RNA". It matches the Rfam family "Bacterial large subunit ribosomal RNA", at positions 1 to 1898 of the family's 2925-position model. Lineage: Bacteria; Pseudomonadati; Pseudomonadota; Gammaproteobacteria; Enterobacterales; Enterobacteriaceae. The record is from RNAcentral.